UGGGGAAUAUUGCACAAUGGGGGAAACCCUGAUGCGGCCAUGCCGCGUGUGUGAAGAAGGCCUUCGGGUUGUAAAGCACUUUCAGCGAGGAGGAAAGGUUGAUGCCUAAUACGUAUCAACUGUGACGUUACUCGCAGAAGAAGCACCGGCUAACUCCGUGCCAGCAGCCGCGGUAAUACGGAGGGUGCAAGCGUUAAUCGGAAUUACUGGGCGUAAAGCGCACGCAGGCGGUUGGAUAAGUUAGAUGUGAAAGCCCCGGGCUCAACCUGGGAAUUGCAUUUAAAACUGUCCAGCUAGAGUCUUGUAGAGGGGGGUAGAAUUCCAGGUGUAGCGGUGAAAUGCGUAGAGAUCUGGAGGAAUACCGGUGGCGAAGGCGGCCCCCUGGACAAAGACUGACGCUCAGGUGCGAAAGCGUGGGGAGCAAACA
RNAcentral lists this ribosomal RNA (427 nucleotides) under uncultured bacterium. RNAcentral describes it as "partial 16S ribosomal RNA". It matches the Rfam family "Bacterial small subunit ribosomal RNA", at positions 355 to 774 of the family's 1533-position model. The record is from RNAcentral.